RNAcentral lists this ribosomal RNA (576 nucleotides) under Triticum aestivum (bread wheat). RNAcentral's name for it is "partial small subunit ribosomal RNA". The record is from RNAcentral. Lineage: Eukaryota; Viridiplantae; Streptophyta; Magnoliopsida; Poales; Poaceae.
AUGUGCUUGCGGGAUAAGGAUCUAUGGCUUAUGCGGUGCCCACUGAUAUGCAACUGGGCGGUUGAGUUUCAUUUGCCGCAUCGCGUGUAUCGUCAGUUUGGUCUGUUCCAGCCUCACCCGCCAUAUUGGGUGGACACGGACAAAGCACUUCAUAGGUUGGACAGGAGAAGGCAGCAGAAGAUAAAGGACUGGGACAAGCAUCAUGCUUCGUAUGUUACCCGCUUCCAGCUUUCUGUGGAGCAAGCUCGUAGCACUGCACGUGCUCCGCUUCGUGAGCACAACCCACUUGCUUUUGAUAACUACGUACGAUGGUUUAUUGGAACUACUCAAGUUGAGAUAUGCCCGCUGGCAUAUAAUGAGGAUAUUCUUGAAGAACCCGUAAACUUUGAGGAUCUAGCAAAGGGGAAGUACAACAGAGAUGUCAGGCAAGGGCAAGGAGUCCCUGCUAUUCCGGUGAUUAACUAUGUGCGCACCGAGAUCAAGAAAGCAGCUGAUGAGAGCCAGUCUAUUCUGGAGAAGACACCAGUUGGAAAUGGCAAUGAUGAUGGUUCACUACGAGCAUUCCUCAAGCGUUAG